UAAGGAGUCUCUGAACAGGAAUUUGAGAAGGACUUUGACAGAGGAGGCUUACGAUGGUUAGGGAAGACCCACAACACCUGUGGCAGCACUG
Chelonoidis abingdonii (Abingdon island giant tortoise) is the source of this 91-nucleotide non-coding RNA. The record is from RefSeq and is a predicted model, not a curated record. NCBI's taxonomy places the organism in Eukaryota, Metazoa, Chordata, Testudines, Testudinidae.